GGCACACAAAUCGAAGGAAGCUCUCCAGGGAUGCAGCGGGAAGGUGCGAGCGGCGGUCGCCGGCGGCAAGGCGACCUUGCCGGUUCCCAUGGCGCCGUCCAAAAUAUUACAAAACGCCCAUCCAAAUAUUUACAACACAGCCCCUAUUAUUUACAUAUAGACCCCGUUUUGGAUUUUAUAGUUUAUGUUGUACCCCUAUAAUUUACAUAUAGACCCUUUAUUUGGAUCGCGAUUAUUAACCGCGAUUCGAAUAUAUGCAAAAAGCCCCCUGGUGUCGAUCUCGAAUUUGGUUCCGUCCCUCCGCUCCACCUCCGGCUGAUCCGCCGCCGCUGCUCUCCCCACCUUCCGUGCUAGCAGGGAGCAUGAAGGCCCAUCUCUCUCCGAUGCACGCAAGCCCAAGGAUCCUAUUCCUUCACUCUCUCUCCUCCCGCAACAAGUCCCCAACAUGGCCGGCCAUUGGAGCCGAGCGAGCACGCCGAGCAGGCGCGCGCUUCGCUUGAGCUCAUGCAGCGGGCCAUGGCAGGUUCUUCGGUAUGUUCUGCUCGCCGGCUGCGGCUGUGGCUCGGUGGUCGGCGGGACGCGCGGUGGCGGAUGCGGGUCGAGCAGGCCGUGAUGGCGAGGCUACGCGGGAACCCGGGCAGCAGAAGAAAAAGAAAAAAAUGUUACACCCACAUGUACAAAAGGCUCCAUCACGUGUCAAUCAUGUUAGAUCUAAAUUGUGCAUGGUAUCCAUGAUACAUAAUGUAUUUAUGUUACAACACGUGAUGGCAAAAAAAAAAGUUACAUGCAAUGUGCUGGGUAUGUCACGUGCAUGGAGGGGACAAAAAAUGUUUCUUGUCUCAAAUUAAUGGCCGGCACAUCAUGUGGAAAAAAGACAGAAAUCUGAGAUCUCAACUAAUCAUGCAUGCAAGUUAGAUCUAAUCCUAUAUUUUCUGAUUUAAAAUAUAUAAAAUAAAAAUUAAAACUAUUACCUCCUAAGACGUAACAUUAAUUGUAUCUGAUCGACGGUCCACUAUCAGCGAACUGAAAAGAUGAAUUACUGAAUUACAUCCUAAAACUAAACAAUGCGACGGGCAAAGCAAGGAUCUGAGGCUACCAAGCAUGCGAUGCAAGCAACCAACAGCAAACACUUUGAUGGUCACCGGAUGCCACAUGUUGCUGGGUUCAGAGUCCUCUGCACUCCUACUCCAUUCCAACACCCGGCGUUUCAGGUCCUGACUGAAUCGCAGAUGAACCAUCGCUCUGCCUUCCCUGUAACAACCUAUUACCAGAAUCUCGAAAGAAAUGACACAAAUUUACGGUAAUUUCUGACCUAUAGACACAAGAUGCAUUCGAUCCAUGUGGCCACGACUGGAAGAAAUUGAAGGCAUCGUUGAUUCAGAAACUGGAACAUAUAGAGACACCUGAAAAAAAAAAGGAAAUGGAACAUACCAUCAGACUUGG
This 1443-nucleotide long non-coding RNA is filed under the name Panicum hallii. RNAcentral describes it as "long non-coding RNA (PHAL_LNC000387)". The record is from RNAcentral. Lineage: Eukaryota; Viridiplantae; Streptophyta; Magnoliopsida; Poales; Poaceae.